AAUUUAAUGAUAUGUUCUGCUUUCUCAAUUGUUUGUUUUCUAUCCUUUGUUCUGAUGUAAUGUUAAUUUUCAAAUGAGGGUCGAGGGUCUUUCAGCAAGUAAGACGACACAUUUCUCUAUUAUCUUAGAAGUUGUACUUUAGAAAAACAAAUUGGAUCAAUGUUGUGAAGACUGUGGUGCCUGAAGGCCAGUUACUAUGUAAAUAUUAUACCAGGUUAUUGAAAUCAAAGAAAUAUUGUGG
Molecule: long non-coding RNA, 241 nt
Organism: Magnolia sinica
Lineage: Eukaryota; Viridiplantae; Streptophyta; Magnoliopsida; Magnoliales; Magnoliaceae
Exons: 3
Source: RefSeq, a predicted model, not a curated record